ACGAGAUCCUUAGCGAAGCUUGCUUUGCUAAGUCUAGUGGCGAACGGGUGAGUAACACGUGAGCAACCUGCCCAGAAGCAGGGGAUAAGCCACCGAAAGGUGGUCUAAUACCGUAUGUGAUUCCAAGGGGCAUCUCUUGGACAUUAAAGGGGGGGAUCUUCGGACCUCUCACUUCUGGAUGGGCUCGCGGCCUAUCAGCUUGUUGGUGAGGUAACGGCUCACCAAGGCAACGACGGGUAACUGGUCUGAGAGGAUGAUCAGUCACACUGGAACUGAGACACGGUCCAGACACCUACGGGUGGCAGCAGUCGAGAAUCAUUCACAAUGGGCGAAAGCCUGAUGGUGCGACGCCGCGUGGAGGAUGACAGCCCUAGGGUUGUAAACUCCUGUCAUGAGAGAGUAAAGACUUAACGUUAAUACCGUUGGGUCCUGAUAGUAUCUCAAGAGGAAGGGACGGCUAACU
Molecule: ribosomal RNA, 463 nt
Filed under: uncultured Verrucomicrobiota bacterium
Lineage: Bacteria; Pseudomonadati; Verrucomicrobiota
Description: bacterial SSU rRNA
Rfam family: Bacterial small subunit ribosomal RNA
Source: RNAcentral